UACAGAGGGUGCGAGCGUUAAUCGGAAUUACUGGGCGUAAAGCGCGCGUAGGCGGCUUUGCAAGUCGGGUGUGAAAUCCCCAGGCUUAACCUGGGAACUGCAUUCGAGACUGCAUUGCUAGAGUAUGGGAGAGGGAAGUGGAAUUUCCGGUGUAGCGGUGAAAUGCGUAGAUAUCGGAAGGAACAUCAGUGGCGAAAGCGGCUUCCUGGCCUGUAACUGACGCUGAGACGCGAAAGCGUGGGGAGCGAACCGG
This 253-nucleotide ribosomal RNA is filed under the name uncultured bacterium. Its description in RNAcentral is "partial 16S ribosomal RNA". It matches the Rfam family "Bacterial small subunit ribosomal RNA", at positions 524 to 776 of the family's 1533-position model. The record is from RNAcentral.